Molecule: ribosomal RNA, 777 nt
Filed under: uncultured Neocallimastigales
Lineage: Eukaryota; Fungi; Neocallimastigomycota; Neocallimastigomycetes; Neocallimastigales
Description: partial large subunit ribosomal RNA
Rfam family: Eukaryotic large subunit ribosomal RNA
Source: RNAcentral
AGAGAGAGACAUGCGCGCAUAUCAAUAAGCGGAGGAAAAGAAACUAACAUAGGAUUCCCUCAGUAACGGCGAGUGAAGCGGGAAGAGCUCAAAUUUGAAAUCUUCAAGGUUCUACCUUGACGAAUUGUAGUUUAAAGAAGUGUUUUCUGCUGAAGUUUUGGUAAAAGUUCUUUGGAAUAGGACAUCAUAGAGGGUGAGAAUCCCGUAUUUGACCAUUAUUUUCAGCUUUGUGAUACACUUUCAAAGAGUCGGAUUGUUUGGGAAUGCAGUCCAAAAUGGGUGGUAAAUUUCAUCUAAAGCUAAAUAUUGGCGAGAGACCGAUAGCGAACAAGUACCGUGAGGGAAAGAUGAAAAGAACUUUGAAAAGAGAGUUAAACAGUACGUGAAAUUGUCAAAAGGGAAGCGUUUGACACCAGUGUUGCUUUUCUCGAAAAUCAAUUAAAAAUGGCUCGAUUUUGUAUUGCUGAGACCUUAAAAGCUCACUGUACAUUUUUCGUGUCUUUUUUAAUGCACUUUUCGUUUAACAAGUCAACAUCAGUUUCUUUUGUUGUAAAAGGGUCAUUGGAAGGUGGCUUUCUUUUCGGAGAAAGUGUUUAUAGCCUUUGGCCUCUGCAAUCGAAGAGACUGAGGUCUGCAGCGUAGAUCCUUCGGGGUUAGAUACAUUUGUGCUAAGUUAUAGCCUUUUCAUAGACAACUUGUUGACUAUAAUCAGUCAUGUAGCUUACUCGCUUAUGCUAUUUUACCUACGCUUAGGAUGUUGAGUCGUAGAGCACGCAG